UACGUAGGGUGCAAGCGUUAAUCGGAAUUACUGGGCGUAAAGCGUGCGCAGGCGGUUUUGUAAGUCUGUCGUGAAAUCCCCGGGCUCAACCUGGGAAUUGCGAUGGAGACUGCAAGGCUAGAAUCUGGCAGAGGGGGGUAGAAUUCCACGUGUAGCAGUGAAAUGCGUAGAGAUGUGGAGGAACACCGAUGGCGAAGGCAGCCCCCUGGGUCAAGAUUGACGCUCAUGCACGAAAGCGUGGGGAGCAAACAG
This 252-nucleotide ribosomal RNA is filed under the name uncultured bacterium. RNAcentral describes it as "partial 16S ribosomal RNA". It matches the Rfam family "Bacterial small subunit ribosomal RNA", at positions 524 to 775 of the family's 1533-position model. RNAcentral also lists the same sequence under 1 other name. The record is from RNAcentral.